RNAcentral lists this ribosomal RNA (465 nucleotides) under uncultured bacterium. RNAcentral's name for it is "bacterial SSU rRNA". It matches the Rfam family "Bacterial small subunit ribosomal RNA", at positions 46 to 507 of the family's 1533-position model. The record is from RNAcentral.
GCUUUAACACAUGCAAGUCGAGCGAUGAAAUUCUCUUCGGAGAAUGGAUUAGCGGCGCACGGGUGAGUAACGCGUAUCCAACCUGGCCCAUACCACGGGAUAGCCCGUCGAAAGGCGGAUUAAUACCGUAUGCUGUCAUUAAGAUGCAUAUAUUGAUGACGAAAGGACUGGCGGUAUGGGAUGGGGAUGCGUCUGAUUAGCUUGUUGGCGGGGUAACGGCCCACCAAGGCGACGAUCAGUAGGGGUUCUGAGAGGAAGGUCCCCCACAUUGGAACUGAGACACGGUCCAAACUCCUACGGGAGGCAGCAGUGAGGAAUAUUGGUCAAUGGGCGCAAGCCUGAACCAGCCAAGUAGCGUGAGGGAAGACUGCCCUACGGGUUGUAAACCUCUUUUGUUUGGGAAUAAAGUGCGGGACGUGUCCCGCAUUGCAUGUACCAUUUGAAUAAGGACCGGCUAAUUCCGUG